RNAcentral lists this small RNA (3568 nucleotides) under Pongo abelii (Sumatran orangutan). RNAcentral's name for it is "retained intron". The record is from RNAcentral. Lineage: Eukaryota; Metazoa; Chordata; Mammalia; Primates; Hominidae.
UCUUGAGAUGCUCGAUGGAUGGGUGCAUUGAUUUGCAUAACUUAGUUCCUCUCACGGGGAAGGAAUGAGUCCCAUCUGUCUGCCUGGGGAGGGUGACAUUGGAAUGCCAUUUUUAGGCCGCUGUGAGAUGUUCUGAUGCCUCGUUCUCCAGAGCAAGGACUCUGUCCGUUUAUGCCAGCAAGUGCUUUAUUCUUUACUCAACUCCCUUCCUGAAAGCCCCUUGCAGCUCUCUGGUGCUUGGGCACGAUCCAAGCCAAAAAUUCUGUACAUUGCAUGGGUACAAACCAACGGGGGCUCUGGUCAAGUCGUGCAGUAGAUGGUGGUCUAGGGGUCCUGGUUGGCACCCCUAAGGCUAGGUCAGAUUUGGGGCCAGGGCAGUCCAGGAGAAGUGCAUUUAUGUCAGCUUGGGGAGGUCACAAAUCCGUGCUGUGUCCAAGCCCACCAGGAAUGGAUUCAGGUGUUCAGAGGCGUGGGGAUUCACCAGGUUUAACCCAGGCCCAUGUGAGCGCCACUGGCCCUAGAAUUAGCCUCACCUGGCGCCGGCCUUUUUGUGAUGGCUCCUGAUUAAAUACCCACUAAUUCUGGAUCUGCUGGUGACCACAGAGUUCACCUGGGGGGUCCCCUACAGGCAGCAUUCAAUCCAGGAAGUGCCAGCAUCACCUGGUGACUUCUGGUAGCUGUAACGUUUAGUGACUCUCUCCAUGUCAUGCAGAGGGGUGACAUCGAGACCCUCUUAUGCCUGGGAAGUUCCUGCUGUCAAUGCAGAAUAUUCUUUAAAAAAAAAUUAGAGAUGGAAUCUCACUAUGUUGCCCAUGCUGGUCUCAAACUCCUAGCCUCAAGUGAUUCUCCCACCUUGGCCUCCUAAAAUGCUGGGAUUACAGGCAUGAGCCAUUGUGCCUAGCCUAGAAUAUUCUUUCUUUCUUUUUUUUUUUUUUGAGACGGAGUUUCGCUCUUGUUGCCCAGGCUGGAGUGCAAUGGCAUGAUCUCGGCUCACCGCAACCUCCGCCUCCCAGGUUCAAGCAAUUCUCCUGCCUCAGCCUCCCAAGUAGCUGGGAUUACAGGCAUGCACCACCACGCCUGGCUAAUUUUGUAUUUUUAGUAGAGACAGGGUUUCUCCAUGUUGAGGCUGGUCUCGAACUCCUGACCUCAGGUGAUCCGCCCGCCUUGGCCUCCCAAAGUGCUGGGAUUACAGGCGUGAGCCACCGCGCCCGGCCUAGAAUAUUCUUGACUUAAUUUAUCUUAUUUUUUAUUUUUAUUUUUUUGAGACAGUCUCACUGUGUCACCCAGGCUGGAGUGCAGUGGCAUGAUCUUGGCUCAAUGCAACCUCCACCUCCCAGAUUCAAGCGAUUCUCGUGCCUCAGGCUCCCAAGUAGCUGGGACUACAGGUGUGUGCCACCACGCCUGGCUAAUUUUUGUAUUUUUAAUAGAAAUGGGGUUUCACCAUGUUGGCCAGGCUGGUCUCGAACUCCUGACCUCAAGUAAAGUCCCACCUCAGUCUCCUAAAGUGCUGGAAUUACAGGCAUGAGCUUCUGCGCCCAGAGUAUUCUUGAACAAUUUAACCUGUUUCGGACUCAAGGGUGCCUGGGUGGCUCUGGUUCCUGCCCUGGUUUCCCUGGGAGUGCUUGUGGCCAUUGGGAUACUCCCAAGAAGGUGAUCCAAGGAGCUGAGAAGGGGAGGGAUCAGCUGCUUAUGGGGCCAUGGCCUGUUGCCUCCAGGAGGAGCUCGCAGCCCUCAUCUCUGAGCUGAAGCAGGAGCAGAAGAAGGUGAAUGAGCUCAUCGCCAAACUGGUGAACAACCGGACCCGAAUCGUCGUGAGUGCCCCUUCCCUCUGCCCCUGCCUGGGACCGGCCACCUUCACUUUCCUGUAGAGCUCAGUUCUCAUUGGUCCUUUACAGAAAAUCAUGCCUUCCAUAUAAAGCCAGAACUCAAAGCAUUCCGGGGCGGGGUGGGGAAAGCGCAAAUCCUCUCAGGGGAAUUCAACCCAGUUGUCGUCAGGACUGGCUCCAAGUUGGCUUUUGCCCUCUGUGUCCUUGAGACUGAGAUAACCCAGGACUUGAGUCUCGGGGUAAACAGCUCAAAGCAUGGGUGUGACUCCUCCGCCCCUGUGCCACCUGUGCCUGCUUGACCUUGCCAGCCUGUCACGGUGCCCUCCCAGUACCUGGGUGCGCAGGCAUGGAGAGGCUGGCAGCCCUGGGCCCUGGCUGAUCACCCGAAAUGAGAGGCACAUGGGGCUGGGAGGCGUGGAGCCCUGGCCCUGGAGGUGGCUGUGAAACGGAAACAGGAGCCGAGCAAGAUCCAGGAGCACUAGGCAUCCCUCAUUUACCCUCCACACCCUUGCGCGGCAGGCGGUAUCAGCCCUGCCUGGUGGAGGCAGAGCUCAGGGUUCUGCAGGGAGUUCUGGCUCCCUCACAGCAAAGCCUGCUCGCCCAGGGCCUUCCUGCUUUCCUUCAGUUGUGGAACUCUGUGAUACAACAAAAUCUUACAUGCACACUUAAUAGCUGAAAUAGGCAAAGUGGGGUGUGGUGGUGUGCAUCUGUAAUCCCAGUAACUCGGGAGGCUGAGGCGGGAGGAUUGCUUGAGGCUGGGAGGUCAAGGCUGCAGUGAGCUAUGGUCAUGCCACUGUGCUCCAGCCUGGGCAACAGAGUGAGACCCUGUCUCUUAAAAAAAAUUACAACAGGCCAAAACAGAGCCACUCCAUUUGAAAUGGGAGCUGGGGUCACCCUCCCCAUGGCCACCGCCAGGGCUCCCCACGCAUGGGGUGAACUCCCUGCCUGGUGCCAGACCAUGCAGCCUCCCUUGAGACUCAGGUCCCAGGACCAGCCUGGUCAGGAAGGCCCUGGGGACACCGAGGCCAGCCAGACAGAGCCUGGCAGCUCAGCUGUGACUCUGCAGUGACCAGCCCUCCCUGUCCCAGAAUGAGUCGGAUGUCUUCAGCUGGGUGAUCCGCCGCGAGUUCCAGGAGCUGCACCACCUGGUGGACGAGGAGAAGGCCCGCUGCCUGGAGGGGAUAGGGGGUCACACCCGUGGCCUGGUGGCCUCCCUGGACAUGCAGCUGGAGCAGGCCCAGGGAACCCGGGAGCGGCUGGCCCAAGCCGAGUGUGUGCUGGAACAGUUUGGCAAUGAGGGCCACCACGAGUUCAUCCGGAAGUUCCACUCCAUGGCCUCCAGGUAAUAACCUUGGAGAGAGCUCAGCCAGGGUCUGGUGGCUGCGGGCACGGGCAUCUCAGCUCCACUGGUUUCUCCAUGCGGCUUAACCAGCGCCUCCCAAGCAGCUGCCCACAGCUGGCACUAUAACUGAGCCUGGGGAAAACAGAGGAAAGUCACAUCCCUGCCUUCAAGGGUCUCGCAGACGGGUGGGGAGGCAGAUGGUGAACUGUGGGUACCUAGAACAGCAGAAGUUCACUCAAGGUACAGAAAUACUAGAGGAGGGUAGUUCAUGCCUGCAAUCCCAGUACUUUGGGAAGCCAAGGCAGGAGGAUUGCUUGAGGCCAGGAGUUCGAGACCAGCCUGGCCAAUGUAGUAAGACCCCAUCUCUACAAAAAAUACAAAAAUAAAAAAAUUAGCUGGG